ACAAAAGUCAGCAAAUAAUCACUGUAAAAACGUCGCAAAGUUUAUGGUUUAUCAACGUUAGACAUCAGCUGCUUUUUUAACGUAUUUAAGUUAUUUAUAAAACAACGCUCAUUCAACGUUACAUAUACCAACGUUGAAAGUGUAGUAAUUAAAAAACGUUGAAAAAGUGUUACUUUGCCAACGUUAAUAAAACGUUGUUUUGACAAUGUUGAGGAAGUGGCACAUUAAAAAUUAUUGUCUCAAUAACUAGCCAUUACAAAAAUAGUUUGCCGUAAUAGAAAGGCAAGGAAAACUUAAUAGAAUGCAUGCAUAUGGUUUGAAAAUAUUUUAAUAAAGUUAUAUUUUAUAACCUAUUUUUAUUGAGAAUAAUUUAAAACUUAGAUAUUAUAUCAAAUUGUAUACAAUAUACAAAUAUCUCAGGGUAAAUUCGAUUUAUUCAGGGUUGAAGCAGAGGCAUUUAUUCCAUCUUGUUAGGUGAAAGAUGGAUGUUUAUUUUGUCCAACUGGUGUUCAUGCAAUGAAAACUGCCUAUAAUCAUUUUCCAAUCGAUGAUUUCUGCAACAAGCUCAGACUUAAAAGAGUUAAAGUAACUGGAGAUAAAGAAGUAUGCGAAG
Long non-coding RNA from Hydra vulgaris (swiftwater hydra), 613 nucleotides. RefSeq lists it as uncharacterized. Lineage: Eukaryota; Metazoa; Cnidaria; Hydrozoa; Anthoathecata; Hydridae. The record is from RefSeq and is a predicted model, not a curated record.